CAGUUGCCGCGGCUUGCUCUGAAAAAGGGGAAAUCUUGGCGCGGUUGGCUCCCCAAGUUCUCAGUAGGCGCCUCUCGAAUCUUCCCCGCAUCGAAAUCGCCGCCGUCGCCGCCGGUGACCUGCCGGAGUGCCACCGCCGAGAUCUGACCCGAAAUGGCGGACGAACCUUCAGAUGCGUGCUCGCGCACGGAUGGAGGUGGUGUCAGGGCUAGCAGGAACAAGAAAAGAAAGUCUUCUCGGGCAUGUGCAUACCCAAAUAAGAAAGAUGGGCUCGUACUAAGAAACGCAAGGGAGCGCUAUGUGAUUAGUGUCUUCGCUUUUGUUGUUCUCUUGCUCAUAUAUUUCUUCACCGAAUAUGAUGAAGAAGAAAGCGACGAGGAAGAGGAAUAUGAGCUCCUUAAGGUUACUGUGGAUUGCUGUAUAGCAGCAAAGGCAUGGGCGGAGCGACAGCUUGGCCCAGGGAAUGCAAACAUUGAAAAAAUUCUUGGUAUGCUUCGAUUCUUACCGGGUUA
Long non-coding RNA from Panicum virgatum (switchgrass), 512 nucleotides. RefSeq lists it as uncharacterized. The record is from RefSeq and is a predicted model, not a curated record. NCBI's taxonomy places the organism in Eukaryota, Viridiplantae, Streptophyta, Magnoliopsida, Poales, Poaceae. The transcript is spliced from 2 exons.